GAUAAUGAGAUCGAUUCACCUUUAAACACAUAUCCUAAAUAAUCCCGGUCAUAGGUUACUCGAGAGGGACAUCGUGAUAACUAGAUAGACUGGUGUGCUGUAUACCCGUCCAUAUGAUGGAUGCAGCUGGUCUCAUAGCUGCUCGUGUAGGGACACUAGGGAUACAGUACAGGUGCUCAUUGGAGAAUGAGUUCACUGAUUGAUCCGCUUACGGAAUGCUGGAUGGUUGAUGAUGCCUUAUUGUCAGACAUCGAUUCCGUAGUCCUAGUGGUGUAUCUGGUCCUUAGACUUGAGACACCAAGGAUGUCCUAUAUGAGUGCUCCACUCUUUGAUACCAGACUUAUAGGUUUG
This 351-nucleotide long non-coding RNA is filed under the name Musa acuminata (dwarf banana). RNAcentral describes it as "long non-coding RNA (MACU_LNC004555)". The record is from RNAcentral. Lineage: Eukaryota; Viridiplantae; Streptophyta; Magnoliopsida; Zingiberales; Musaceae.